This 201-nucleotide long non-coding RNA is filed under the name Elaeis guineensis (African oil palm). RNAcentral's name for it is "long non-coding RNA (EGUI_LNC022178)". The record is from RNAcentral. Lineage: Eukaryota; Viridiplantae; Streptophyta; Magnoliopsida; Arecales; Arecaceae.
AUCUGAACUUGAGCUUACUAUCGGACCUCUGAAAGUAGAUCUAAGUCGGCUCUCCGAUAUUCUGAAUUGCUCGGCUCAUUGUAUUGUUCAACCCUUAUUGAUGGCAAUCUGAUCUCAAGUGGAAUCAUCGCUUCUGUUCCAUAAGCUAGAUUAAAUGAUGAUUCUCCCAUUGGUAUGUAAGAAGUUGUUCUGUAUGCCCAU